RNAcentral lists this non-coding RNA (28 nucleotides) under Rattus norvegicus (Norway rat). Lineage: Eukaryota; Metazoa; Chordata; Mammalia; Rodentia; Muridae. The record is from RNAcentral.
UGCAGGGGCCCAUACCACUUCUGUGCUU